GCAGCGGCAUGGUCCUGGUUCCAUUUUUGUUGCUCUUCUAGGAGUCGUCCAUGUUCUGCUUGCGUGUUCUGGAUGUCGAGGAGAGUGUUGUCGGUGCGGGUGAAGAAAGCACCGGCCUCUUGAUAGUAGUCAUUCGUGAAAGCGUAGGAGGCGUCGGAGUAUCGUCCUGCAUCAAAUUGGGGUGGAGGUCUGGAUCCUGAAGCUCUAUAUGGAUCAGUGGAGUACCUGCCCGUAUGAAAAGGCGGGUUUGUCCACUGGUGGUCUUGGCUCUCCGGCCAUGUCUCCUGUGUAGGCUCGUGUGGUUGCGCAUGUCGAACCCUUGGGUCUCGAAGGACUCGGGGGUUGUAGUCGCUAUAAUGCAGGUGCGCUGCUUCUUCUGGUCCGGGAUCAGCUCCAUACCAGGUGUUGGGUAUUUUAAACGCAAACAGGAAAAUCCGCAAGCGCACGGAUACCGAUGUAGCUUUCACCCGGGAGUAUUCCAGAGUAUCGAUUUUCCCCAGAGAACGUGAGUGUACUAAUUAAGAUCCAAGAUCGCCCAAGGAUAACUAUAUAACUAUUUUUGGUGGGAAGAGAGGAAGUUUCCUGAGAGUUCUCUAGUUGAUCUAAGAAUCAAGAAUUACUUCAAGAUUAUCUAUUUCGGGACAUCAGAACACUAACCAUAGAAAGAGAUGAGAAGGGGGCUAGGAAGCUCAGACUACGGUCCUACAAACACCGAUCCGAACGAGGUGGAAUACGUCGACCGUUAGGGCUGUCACUACCCUAAGGCUACCACAACAAUCCGUAGGAUUGGGUGCAAUUCCAGGUAAUUGCAAGACUAAACACCACGUCUAAUCUAUUAAUUACUACUCUAAUGUUUCAAAGAUUAGAGCACUUGAUGCAAGCGAGAAUCCAAUAAAUAACUUGAAUGUAAAUAAAAGUAAUUAGAGAACUCAGGAGUCAUGAAUUGAAGAACCUGG
RNAcentral lists this long non-coding RNA (956 nucleotides) under Sorghum bicolor (sorghum). Its description in RNAcentral is "long non-coding RNA (SBIC_LNC009150)". Lineage: Eukaryota; Viridiplantae; Streptophyta; Magnoliopsida; Poales; Poaceae. The record is from RNAcentral.